This 255-nucleotide ribosomal RNA is filed under the name uncultured bacterium. RNAcentral's name for it is "partial 16S ribosomal RNA". It matches the Rfam family "Bacterial small subunit ribosomal RNA", at positions 524 to 777 of the family's 1533-position model. The record is from RNAcentral.
UACGAAGGGGGCUAGCGUUGCUCGGAAUCACUGGGCGUAAAGCGCACGUAGGCGGAUUGCUAAGUCAGGGGUGAAAUCCUGGAGCUCAACUCCAGAACUGCCUUUGAUACUGGCGACCUUGAGUCCGGGAGAGGUGAGUGGAACUGCGAGUGUAGAGGUGAAAAUUCGUAGAUAUUCGCAAGAACACCAGUGGCGAAGGCGGCUCACUGGCCCGGUACUGACGCUGAGGUGCGAAAGCGUGGGGAGCGAACAGGA